Non-coding RNA from Triticum aestivum (bread wheat), 125 nucleotides. NCBI's taxonomy places the organism in Eukaryota, Viridiplantae, Streptophyta, Magnoliopsida, Poales, Poaceae. The record is from Rfam.
AUGCUACUCCCUCCGUCCCGAAAUACUUGUCGGGGAAAUGGAUAAAAAUGAAUGCAUCUAGAACUAAGAUACGUCUAGGUACAUCCAUUUCUUCGACAAGUAUUUUAGGACGGAGGGAGUACUCA